RNAcentral lists this ribosomal RNA (433 nucleotides) under uncultured bacterium. RNAcentral's name for it is "partial 16S ribosomal RNA". It matches the Rfam family "Bacterial small subunit ribosomal RNA", at positions 29 to 507 of the family's 1533-position model. The record is from RNAcentral.
AACGAACGCUGGCGGCAUGCCUAACACAUGCAAGUCGAACGAAGGCUUCGGCCUUAGUGGCGCACGGGUGCGUAACGCGUGGGAAUCUGCCCUUUGGUUCGGAAUAACAGCUGGAAACGGCUGCUAAUACCGGAUGAUGACGAAAGUCCAAAGAUUUAUCGCCAGAGGAUGAGCCCGCGUUGGAUUAGGUAGUUGGUGGGGUAAAGGCCUACCAAGCCGACGAUCCAUAGCUGGUCUGAGAGGAUGAUCAGCCACACUGGGACUGAGACACGGCCCAGACUCCUACGGGAGGCAGCAGUGGGGAAUAUUGGACAAUGGGCGCAAGCCUGAUCCAGCAAUGCCGCGUGAGUGAUGAAGGCCCUAGAGUUGUAAAGCUCUUUUACCCGGGAAGAUAAUGACUGUACCGGGAGAAUAAGCCCCGGCUAACUCCGUG